AUGGCGGCCUCCAGCGCCCGCGUCGCCCCGUGCUGGAUCUCCGUGGUCGCGUCCAUGGACGUCCGGCCGCUGAGCCCGCGCAGCUGCUGCGCUAUCAGGCACUGCGCCUCGUGGUGCUGGCGCAUGGCCUUCCACAUGUCGCGCGUGGCGUGGCAGAGCCCCAGCACCUGGCGCGCGAGGUGGGUGUCCCGGAGCUCGGAGAUGGCCGCGGAGCCGGCGUGCGCGGCCUCGGACGCCGUGGCGAGCUGCGCGCGCGCCCUGUCCCACGCGCCCUUGAGCUUCUGGAUGUCCACGUUGAUCUUCCUGCUGUACUCCUGGUCCCGGAGCGCCGCCAGCUUCUUGUCGUGGCGGACCUGCAGCCGCUCCCUCGCCUUCACCUCCUUGUACAGCUUCUUCUCCCAGACCAUGAGCUGCUGCAGUGUGGAGCUAUGCCGCUUGCCGAUCCGGUCGUGCAUGCCGUCGACCCCGUCGUGCGAAACUGACGGCGACGACGACGACGACAUGCAGCAAAGCACGCCAAAGAAGCUGCUCGCUCCACCUGCAGAAUAUUUCACAUGCACUCUGUUAAAUGUCAGCUUCGAAUGUCUCACACGUGCGACGCUGGCAAGUGGAGGUUUGCGAGACACUCAGGCAGCAGGGUGGUUCACCACUGUACUCGGCGUUGCCGGCCUCGAGGAGUUUCGACACCGGGUCGCCGGCGGCGGUAGCCCUGAGGAAGUACUCCUCCAGCCCCGCGGCGACCUCCGCGAGGCUCCGGUGCCUCACGGCCACCCGCAGGUCCUCCCCGCCAACGACGCCGCCCUCCGUCCGCGCGGCGGCGGGAGGCGCCUCGGCAGCGGCAGCGGCAGCGCCGUCCUGCUGCGCCGGCUGGAUGGAGCGGAGGAGCGGCGGCGGCGUGGAGGGGGCGGGCGCCGGGCGGUGCACGAGCACGGCGGGCGGGGUGUGGUCGGACACCGGGAGCGGCUCGCCGAGCGCGAAGUGGGUGAGCGCGGACGCCACGAGGCCGAGCGAGCCGAGGUAGCCGGCGUGCGAGGCCGCGAGCUGGCGCCGCGCCCGCACCGCCUCCCGCAUGAGCCGGCGCCGCUCCCUGCACCGCCUCGUGUGCUCCCGCGCCGCCGGGCGGGCCGCGUCCCCCUGCUGGCGCGACCACGCCAUCCCCAUUGCCCGCGUUCGCUUCGCGAGCAGGAGCUGCCGUGGAGGGGUGGAUGGAGGUGGGAGUGA
RNAcentral lists this ribosomal RNA (1221 nucleotides) under Triticum aestivum (bread wheat). RNAcentral describes it as "partial small subunit ribosomal RNA". Lineage: Eukaryota; Viridiplantae; Streptophyta; Magnoliopsida; Poales; Poaceae. The record is from RNAcentral.